UGAAAUCAGUUUCCUAAAAUGCCAGUGCAAACACGCAAAGACAAAUUAUAUUCCAUUCCCUAUAUGUCUGAUUUGCCACUAUUUAAAUUUUUUAUAGAAACAGGAUAAAUGAACUUUUCUGUUCAGCGUCUCGUACUCUGUAUGAAGAACAUGUGAUGAUCUGCAGGGAUGUGUGAUGUUUACCUCCUGUAAGUUUCCAUGCAGCCUUUAAUCAAUCAGAUCAGUUUUUUUUAACUGCACAGACAGGUUGCCAAACCAUGCUGCGAUACCCAAAACCCACAAACAACUCGAACCUGCAGUAAUAACCAUCGGUUAAAUAUUAAACAA
This is a long non-coding RNA of Labrus mixtus (cuckoo wrasse), 327 nucleotides long. RefSeq lists it as uncharacterized. The transcript is spliced from 2 exons. Lineage: Eukaryota; Metazoa; Chordata; Actinopteri; Labriformes; Labridae. The record is from RefSeq and is a predicted model, not a curated record.